UACGAAGGGGGCUAGCGUUGUUCGGAUUUACUGGGCGUAAAGCGCACGUAGGCGGAUCGUUAAGUCGGGGGUGAAAUCCUGGAGCUCAACUCCAGAACUGCCUUCGAUACUGGCGAUCUCGAGUCCGGAAGAGGUGAGUGGAACUCCUAGUGUAGAGGUGGAAUUCGUAGAUAUCAGGAGGAACACCUGUGGCGAAAGCGGCGCACUGGACCACAACUGACGCUGAGGCGCGAAAGCUAGGGGAGCAAACAGG
This 253-nucleotide ribosomal RNA is filed under the name uncultured bacterium. RNAcentral describes it as "partial 16S ribosomal RNA". It matches the Rfam family "Bacterial small subunit ribosomal RNA", at positions 524 to 776 of the family's 1533-position model. The record is from RNAcentral.